UCGGGAAUUUUGGGCAAUGGGCGAAAGCCUGACCCAGCAACGCCGCGUGAGGGAUGAAGUAUUUCGGUAUGUAAACCUCGAAAGAAUGGGAAGAAUAAAUGACGGUACCAUUUAUAGGCUCCGGCUAACUACGUGCCAGCAGCCGCGGUAAUACGUAGGGAGCAAGCGGUGUUCGGAUUUACUGGGCGUAAAGGGCGCGUAGGCGGCGCGGUAAGUCACUUGUGAAAUCUCUGAGCUUAACUCAGAACGGCCAAGUGAUACUGCUGUGCUAGAGUGCGGAAGAGGCAACCGGAAUUCUUGGUGUAGCGGUGAAAUGCGUAGAUAUCAAGAGGAACACCUGAGGCGAAGGCGGGUUGCUGGGCCGACACUGACGCUGAUGCGCGAAAGCCAGGGGAGCAAACG
Molecule: ribosomal RNA, 402 nt
Filed under: uncultured bacterium
Lineage: Bacteria
Description: bacterial SSU rRNA
Rfam family: Bacterial small subunit ribosomal RNA
Source: RNAcentral